GAUGAACGCUGGCGGCGUGCUUAACACAUGCAAGUCGAACGGGAAUUAUUUUAUUGCAACUUCGGUCGAUUUAAUUUAAUUCUAGUGGCGGACGGGUGAGUAACGCGUGGGUAACCUGCCUUAUACAGGGGGAUAACAGUCAGAAAUGGCUGCUAAUACCGCAUAAGCGCACAGAGCUGCAUGGCUCAGUGUGAAAAACUCCGGUGGUAUAAGAUGGACCCGCGUUGGAUUAGCUGGUUGGUGGGGUAACGGCCCACCAAGGCGACGAUCCAUAGCCGGCCUGAGAGGGUGAACGGCCACAUUGGGACUGAGACACGGCCCAGACUCCUACGGGAGGCAGCAGUGGGGAAUAUUGCACAAUGGGGGAAACCCUGAUGCAGCGACGCCGCGUGAAGGAAGAGGUAUCUCGGUAUGUAAACUUCUAUCAGCAGGGAAGAUAGUGACGGUACCUGACUAAGAAGCCCCGGCUAACUACGUG
Molecule: ribosomal RNA, 478 nt
Filed under: uncultured bacterium
Lineage: Bacteria
Description: partial 16S ribosomal RNA
Rfam family: Bacterial small subunit ribosomal RNA
Source: RNAcentral